GACGUAGGAGGCAAGCGUUGUCCGGAGUUACUGGGCGUAAAGCGCGCGCAGGCGGUCACGCAGGUCAUCUGUGAAAGCACCCGGCUCAACCGGGUUGUUGCGGGUGAAACCGCGUGACUUGAGGUCGGGAGGGGUCGGUGGAAUUCCCGGUGUAGUGGUGAAAUGCGUAGAGAUCGGGAGGAACACCCGUAGCGAAGGCGGCCGACUGGACCGAUCCUGACGCUGAGGCGCGAAGGCCAGGGGAGCGAACCGG
This 253-nucleotide ribosomal RNA is filed under the name uncultured bacterium. Its description in RNAcentral is "partial 16S ribosomal RNA". It matches the Rfam family "Bacterial small subunit ribosomal RNA", at positions 524 to 776 of the family's 1533-position model. The record is from RNAcentral.